Molecule: long non-coding RNA, 708 nt
Organism: Oryzias melastigma (Indian medaka)
Lineage: Eukaryota; Metazoa; Chordata; Actinopteri; Beloniformes; Adrianichthyidae
Exons: 3
Source: RefSeq, a predicted model, not a curated record
CAUUUUAAUGGCUAAAAUAGAAUAUAAAUAUCCUAAAAUCUAAUAUUACUACAAUUCCCAGAAGCCACCGGGAGAAGUUUGUGCUGAGAGGGGAAGGCCACACAGGCCAUUGAACUCUCCUCAGCCCUUCCCUGUCCAGCCUCCAUCACAGGGUCUGAUGCUCCUCUGAGUUCUCUACAGGUCACAUUUACGUCAUGUUAACGAGCACGUCUGGGACCAGCUGAAGCAGAGACUUGAGGAAGAGUGGAACGCCUCAGAACAUCGAGAGGAUGGUGAGGAGCAGGAGACAUCACGGUCAAGAUGUUGUUGCAACAAAUGGUGGAAAUAUGACAUAAACAUGAAAGCCAUAUAUAACCACAUGGGAGCCAAGCCUGCAGAAGAGUGGAAUAAAAGGCACAUUUCAUGCAGGUCUCGUUUGCAUGGCCAGACUAAAAAGAAAAAAAUCAUGCAUCUCUGACAGUUUUCAGGAGGCCGGGCAAAAUGUGGAGGCAGGCCAGAUCCUGGUAUAGAGCAGUGACCGGAACUUUUGUUUUUUGUUUUUUUAGGUGUGCAGGUUUGUUUCUUAUUGUUGUAUGUCAGCAUCUUUGCUCUCUUGGAGUAUAAAAGUCUUUAGAGUUCUGCUUAUCUUACUGUUGAGGUGUUUUGUACACACAAGUUACUCUUCUGGGUCAACACAUGAUAAAUGUAAAUAUUUCAGACAAUAAAAAU